RNAcentral lists this transfer RNA (86 nucleotides) under Armatimonadota bacterium. Its description in RNAcentral is "Armatimonadetes bacterium (soil metagenome) tRNA-Leu". It matches the Rfam family "tRNA". Rfam says of the family: Transfer RNA (tRNA) molecules are approximately 80 nucleotides in length. Their secondary structure includes four short double-helical elements and three loops (D, anti-codon, and T loops). Lineage: Bacteria; Bacillati; Armatimonadota. RNAcentral also lists the same sequence under 1 other name. The record is from RNAcentral.
GGGCGAGUGGCGGAAUUGGUAGACGCACUGGAUUUAGGUUCCAGCGGUUAAUAGCCGUGAGAGUUCGAGUCUCUCCUUGCCCACCA